Long non-coding RNA from Saccostrea cuccullata (small rock oyster), 775 nucleotides. RefSeq lists it as uncharacterized. NCBI's taxonomy places the organism in Eukaryota, Metazoa, Mollusca, Bivalvia, Ostreida, Ostreidae. The record is from RefSeq and is a predicted model, not a curated record. The transcript has 2 exons.
UUUCACCCUCUCACAAGGUGUAUCCAAUAAACAGUACAGUCACUGAUCUUUGUCAACUUUUAAAGAAAAUAACAGAAUAUGAAGAAGGAAGACUAUAUAUAGGAUCGAUCUACUUCAUAACUGGAAAAAGAGAAGCAGUUCACAAAUGUUGAUGAGCAGAAGAGAAGAAACUCUGGCUGCACAAAAAUCUGAGCUCUUGAAAAAGAAACAAAAAAAAAGAAAUGAAAAUAUGAAUGAUAUUCAAUCAAAGGAUCCAAAUGAUGAAAUUCUGGAAAUUCCACAUGGAGAGACAAUAAGGAUUUCCAGCAUGCGAUAGGCAAAGGCCUGUUCAGCUCACAGGUUAUAGUUACGCAUUUACCAUCUCUGCUCGAACUGCUUGAAAGCAAUGAAAACUGUUUCCCUGGUGCUGAACAAACUUUUCUCCUAGACUGGAAUUAAAAACUGUUCAAUUUCUGGCAUUAAAACACAAUUUGAAACAUGCUGAAGAAGGAUCCCCCUCUCCUUUUGACCAAGUAAGGUUAAACAUUCUGCAAAGAGUUGCAUUGAAUUGAAUUUUUUUUUAUACUUUUACCAGGAAUGAACUACAUUACUCAUUUACUAUGGUUUAAUGUGUCAGAUUGUCUAUUUUAAUUUUUUUGAAAAAAGAUUUUGUUGCCAUGGUUGGAAAACAAACAACAUUUCUGUAAAAUCUUUCAAGAUGCUGUAUUAUAAAUCAUCUACUGUUACUUUUUUUAGCAUGACUUCAUGCAUUUUCAUGAAUAAACAUGAAUAAUAA